GCCUUCGUGGUGUAAUGGUCAGCACGCUCGGCGCGUAACCGAGAGGUCCGUGGUUCGAUUCCCAGCGAAGGCG
Molecule: transfer RNA, 73 nt
Filed under: Stegodyphus mimosarum
Lineage: Eukaryota; Metazoa; Arthropoda; Arachnida; Araneae; Eresidae
Description: tRNA-Thr for anticodon CGU
Rfam family: tRNA
About the family: Transfer RNA (tRNA) molecules are approximately 80 nucleotides in length.
Source: Rfam by way of RNAcentral